AGGAUUUGAAGGGCAACCAGGCAUUCCCUGGUGGAGGUGAGAAAGGGAGAAGAGGGUUUCAUGCAGACAGGAGAGCCUGGAACUUUUGGAGCAGCACUGUAAUUCUCUAGGGGUGGAGCUUAGGCUGCUUGAGACAAAGUGGCAGGAGGUGAGUCUGGAAAGAAGACAAGACAAAGAAGAUGUUGAAGGUGGUGGUCCAAGCUAAGGAGCAGGACUCUGAUCCAGGAAGGGAAGCUGGAAAGAGGGCUAAUCAGAUUCCCAUUGUAGGGAGAUCAUCACGGGAUGACCCAGAUGAAAGUGAGACUCCAAACAGGAGCAGCAGUCAGGCAUUGUGCCCACAUCCACUGCAGAGGAGGAGGAAUGGGCAAAAGGUGAAGUCACUGCAAACACUGAGUACAGGAAGAAAGCUGAGGCUUGUCUUCAUCUUGCAAGAUGUCUGGGCACCUAAUGCUUCGGAAGACGUUGGUUCUCAGAAGGUCAUGCCGGCAUCCAGGGGCAAAAUCUGGGUCUGCUUGACCGAGGACUCCGCAAAUCCCAGAGCAGGCCUGAACCGGGAUUCUCUUGAAGUGUAAGUGCUGCACUGUGAACCCGGGAGGCAUUCACUAAAUAUUGUGGAAGAUGACGUGAGUGGAGCCAUAUUAAAAUAGAGCCAGAGCAGCCACUUUGGAGGCAUUGCCUUGCACAUCUUGUUUUCCCUAUCUUGCAAACUGGACCAAAAUGCCAACAUUCCAAGAAGUCAGUAAGGAUAAGAAUAUCCUGUCUGUAAGGACUGAUGAAACUAGACUUUUCUGAUGACUGCAUUGCUAACCAAUCAGUGAAGUACAAGUCUAGCGUUUGCCUGAAGAUCGACCUCAGGUCAAUCUAAGAAGUCGAAAUCCAGCCUCACCUUACCCAACACCAACGCACUCUUCUUUAAUACAGCUCACUUCAUCCUCCCCCUUUGCCAUAAAAACCCUAAGCUCUUCUCCUAUAAUCAGGACACUAUUUGGGUUUGUACGUGAAUCUGUGCUCCCCAAAUUGCAAUUCGUUGAUCCCAAAAAAACGCUUUGCCUCUUAAACUGGUUUCUGUUUUUGUGGGUUGACAAUAUCUUCUUGAAUCUGGGGUCAGGACAUCUGGGUUUGAGGCUUGCAAUUAGUGGCUGUGUGACCCAGGUCGUCAGAUCUUUCUCAGUCUCACUUCUCUGUAAAAUUAGGAUGUUGAACUAGAUGAUCUUUAAGGUCCCUUCCAAAUCUCAGAUUCUAUGAUUCAGUGUAGUCUAUUCUUACCCCUGAAAAAAUAAGUCUAAACAUAAGCCUUACUGAUGAUGGGUGUAGUUGGCCACUGGGUUCGAGAUGAACACAAAUUCUUUGAUCCUCUUCCCAGAGAGAGGUGGGGUAUUUCCCCUCCUCAUGAUUCUGGGCUGCACUGUGACUUGCUUUGACCAGUAAUAGACUGCAGCAGAAGUGACACUGUGUCAGUUCUGGGCACAGUAAAUGGGCAUCUGAGGCAGGAUUGGGGUGAGGUAGGGGGAUAGAAGGUGAGGAAGAAAUUGCAAACACCGGGGGACUCCAAAGAAAGGCCUCUAAUAGGGUCUGGCUUUAUGUGUCCUGGAACACUUGCUGUUAGGGGCCUGAACUCUCAUGUAAGAAGUCUGGCCACUUUGCUGGAGAGACUACAUGAGGAGGCCUUGAGUCUGCAUGGAGACAGAGGGGCCCAUGGAGUCCAGCCUCACAGCCACCCCUGCCGAGGUGUCAGGUAUGUGAGUAAAAUUGUUUUGGACCCUCCAGAUCAGCUCCACCACUAGCUGAAUACCACUGAGUGAUCCCAGUGGAGGCCGCCUGGAGCAGGAGAACCACCUGGCUGAGCCCUGCCCUUUUUC
This 1859-nucleotide long non-coding RNA is filed under the name Equus caballus (horse). RNAcentral's name for it is "lncRNA (ENSECAG00000048302.1)". Lineage: Eukaryota; Metazoa; Chordata; Mammalia; Perissodactyla; Equidae. The record is from RNAcentral.